CAGGCCUUCACCGUGCAGCAAGGCCAAAAAGUGGACGACAUGCCGGCCGAGAGAACGGCCACGCUACCUCUGACGGAGGCAGAGGCAGCGCUGGCGACGCCGACCGCGUCUUGCUCACAGGCACAGUCCACUGGAACGCCUGAGGCCACCCCAGCUGCAUUGCCAUCGCCGAGGACGACAGCAACCAUCUCACAAAGGGAAGGCUCGGCCAAAGACUCGGGAACACCCGUAACUGCCGCGGCGCCCCGCACCACGCGCCUCUUGAAGGAUGUCGAGGCCGAGGAGAAUCGCUACCUCUAUGAAACUCUCUACAAGUCGCUCGAUGAAACCGCUGACACGGCCAUCCGCGACGAGCUCACUGUCGGCGACACUGUUCGCUUCGCCCGCGACGCCAAACGAGAGUUCAUCACGGCUGCGACGAUGCCGCUGGGCGAAAAAGCGAAGAACUGCUCCGCGCUCGCGCGCAGAUUCUCACAAAAGAAGAACCAGAAGGUAGCCUACGUGUUCAUUGUGUUCAGCGUGCUCAUGAUGACAAUGCCGGUGAUAGGCCUUCUUAUUGGCAUGAGACUGAUUGCCCCGCGGCUUGAUAUGGACCCGACACUGUGUGGGGGUGGUUUGGCUGUGUUCACAGCGAUAUCGCUUACGGGUUCCUACGUGGUGUACGCCAUGAUGGAGGAAGCGCAGUGCGGCAAGCAGAAUGCAAGCGAGACCGAGAGUAAGAAGGAACGCUGACCACACGGCUUUCCCCUCACGGAAACCCCUGCAUGCCGUGCUGCGGUCGCUGGGUAUGGUGAUCGGUGUUUUUCGUCUUGCCGCUCGGAAAUCCGGAUCGCGUGUGCACCUCGCGCGAUUCGAAGCGUUUCACUGAAUUCUAAGUCAUCUUGGUUUGCAAAGGGAAAAAAUCCGAACAUAACAGCCGCAAGGGUUACAAUGGGCGAGAAAAAAAACCGAAUCUGCGUCUAGUGGACGGUGAGGGGAGUCAGAGGCGAAGCAGCUAGUGUGUGUGCCACAGCGAGAGCGGUGUAUCUUGAUGAAUCUCCUUGAUUCUCCUUAUUCCUCAUCUUUGGAUGACAGCCAUCUUGCCGAUGUACUCGCGCUUGCGGUUUACCAUGCCCGAUGCUUGGAUAUUCCAUUGCGUGCAGGGGCACGGACACGCACGCCUUACUCUUAGCGCUUUUUAUUUUCCUUGCCUUGCCAGCCCUCUUUCUCCAACAUUCUCCUUCUCUCUGCGCAUUUCUCGAUUUUCCGCCUCCCCUACUCUUCACGUCGCCGGCACGCACGACUGGCCUCUGCGUGGGAGUGCGUGUGUGAGUGCCAUUCUAACGUUAG
This 1329-nucleotide unclassified non-coding RNA is filed under the name Leishmania donovani. RNAcentral's name for it is "gene:LdHU3.35.5480(CDS-product:hypothetical_prote in_conserved)". The record is from RNAcentral. Lineage: Eukaryota; Euglenozoa; Kinetoplastea; Trypanosomatida; Trypanosomatidae.